This 508-nucleotide ribosomal RNA is filed under the name uncultured bacterium. RNAcentral describes it as "partial 16S ribosomal RNA". It matches the Rfam family "Bacterial small subunit ribosomal RNA", at positions 29 to 523 of the family's 1533-position model. The record is from RNAcentral.
AUUGAACGCUGGCGGCAUGCCUUACACAUGCAAGUCGAACGGCAGCGGGGGAGAAGCUUGCUUUUCCUGCCGGCGAGUGGCGAACGGGUGAGUAAUACAUCGGAACGUGCCCUGUAGUGGGGGAUAACUAGUCGAAAGAUUAGCUAAUACCGCAUACGACCUGAGGGUGAAAGGGGGGGACCGCAAGGCCUCAUGCUAUAGGAGCGGCCGAUGUCUGAGUAGCCAGUUGGUGGGGUAAAGGCGUACCAAGGCGACGAUCAGGAUCUGGUCUGAGAGGACGAUCAGCCACACUGGGACUGAGACACGGCCCAGACUCCUACGGGAGGCAGCAGUGGGGAAUUUUGGACAAUGGGCGAAAGCCUGAUCCAGCAAUGCCGCGUGUGUGAAGAAGGCCUUCGGGUUGUAAAGCACUUUUGUCCGGAAAGAAAUGGCUCUGGUUAAUACCUGGGGUCGAUGACGGUACCGGAAGAAUAAGGACCGGCUAACUACGUGCCAGCAGCCGCCGUAA